UCGAGCUCCCACCAAUUCAGCUUCAACACAAACCAUGUUCCCUGCAUCUCUGCUGCUGCUGUUGACAGCUGCAUCAUGUGUACACUGUGGUCUUGAGCUCACACAACCAAGCUCAUUGGAUGUAAAGCCUGGAGAGUCUUUGAGCAUCACCUGUAAAGUCUCUGGGUAUUCUCUGACUGAUAGCAGCAACGUCUAUGGAAUAGGCUGGAUCCGUCAGCCUGUAGGAAAAGCACUUGAAUGGAUUUGGACCAUCUAUUAUGAUGGAAGCUCAAACUCUCAAAGUUCCCUAAAAGACAGGUUCAGUGUCACAAGAGACACUUCUAGCAAUACUGUGUCUUUGAAAGGACAGAGUCUGCAGACUGAAGACACAGCUGUGUAUUAUUGUGCUCGGUAG
Salvelinus sp. IW2-2015 is the source of this 394-nucleotide non-coding RNA. NCBI's taxonomy places the organism in Eukaryota, Metazoa, Chordata, Actinopteri, Salmoniformes, Salmonidae. The record is from the annotation of a RefSeq genome assembly.